Molecule: long non-coding RNA, 753 nt
Filed under: Vulpes vulpes (red fox)
Lineage: Eukaryota; Metazoa; Chordata; Mammalia; Carnivora; Canidae
Description: lncRNA (ENSVVUG00000011702.1)
Source: RNAcentral
CGGGCACCGGCCGCCGCUCGCAGAGCACCGGCCGCGCGCGGGGCUGCCGCUUCUCCGAGAGCCCAACUCCAUCUGGAUGUGUCCCGACAAUGAAGUGUCGCCUAAAUGAUAACCCGUUCAGAAGAUGCGCUCUGUGGCCCUCUGCCAGGCAGCGUGGGGAGCGUCUCUGGUCCAGACUCCUCCGCUGUGCAUCGUGCCCCUCCCAGGCUGGGGAGAGACAUCAGCCCACGUGAGAGAAAGAAGCAGAGACUGAUGGGAGUCCCACCACCUCUAACUGGCUCUGUCUGUGCCCCAGGGCCCACGGGGAGUGCUCAGACACCUGGAGCUGAUGCUGGAGCUAAGAAGGGGUCAGGACCGUGUGGGGUCAGGCUGUACCUGGGCCCUCACCGUGAUCGGAGGUGCGGGACGUGGAGCCUCGCCCCUGCUCCUGAGCAGCUGUGAGAGCCUGUGGAGCCAACCUAGCUGUGCUUGCUCAUGCUGGUGACCUCCUAGAAAGCUGAACUUCCCAAUCUGUUACCUUGUCUCCGAGGCAUAAUAUUUUCUUAAGACUCUCCCCAAGAUGCCCACUUAUCAUUAAGAACAGCUACAAAAUGUUCCAGCAAGUAUGAUCAGGUCCUGUGGGGUCUGAUUCAUCACCAGAGGGCCUCCUGUCCUGGACACUCAGAUGUCUUCGUCCUCAGUGCUCAGAAAUUUGAGAUCAAAACUAGGUGAGUGAAAAAUAAAUAAUAAAAUUAAAAAAAAAAAAAAAGAACG